AUGAAGGUAACUGGCCUUGAUGUGGACCCCCUGAGUGUCUUGUCCUUCACUGUUAGCCUUUUAGAGAUACAGUGCUCUGCGACGCUGACACAAGAAAAGCUCUCUAUGACCAAAGGACAGGGCAAGACGGUCCGGAUAAGAUGCACAUGGGACGCCAAACCAGACUACAUUCACUGGUACCGACAGAAGGGCGGCGGGGCUUUAGUACGAAUGCUUUACAUAGUAACUGACUCAGGAGCGGUGAGCUAUGACACCAGUGACCAUCAAAGGUUCAAAACAGAGGACAACGGCUCGACUCUGCGUAAAGACAGAGCAGAGACUGACGACGAGGCAACAUAUUACUGUGCCGCAUGGGACAGCCACAGUGACAGACACCAAAAGGACCCCCGCACAAAAACACGUCAUUAUGAUAAUAUGAACGGCACUAUGUGA
This is a non-coding RNA of Erpetoichthys calabaricus (reedfish), 432 nucleotides long. The record is from the annotation of a RefSeq genome assembly. Lineage: Eukaryota; Metazoa; Chordata; Cladistia; Polypteriformes; Polypteridae.